Molecule: ribosomal RNA, 1492 nt
Filed under: Lacticaseibacillus paracasei
Lineage: Bacteria; Bacillati; Bacillota; Bacilli; Lactobacillales; Lactobacillaceae
Description: bacterial SSU rRNA
Rfam family: Bacterial small subunit ribosomal RNA
Source: RNAcentral
GAUGAACGCUGGCGGCGUGCCUAAUACAUGCAAGUCGAACGAGUUCUCGUUGAUGAUCGGUGCUUGCACCGAGAUUCAACAUGGAACGAGUGGCGGACGGGUGAGUAACACGUGGGUAACCUGCCCUUAAGUGGGGGAUAACAUUUGGAAACAGAUGCUAAUACCGCAUAGAUCCAAGAACCGCAUGGUUCUUGGCUGAAAGAUGGCGUAAGCUAUCGCUUUUGGAUGGACCCGCGGCGUAUUAGCUAGUUGGUGAGGUAAUGGCUCACCAAGGCGAUGAUACGUAGCCGAACUGAGAGGUUGAUCGGCCACAUUGGGACUGAGACACGGCCCAAACUCCUACGGGAGGCAGCAGUAGGGAAUCUUCCACAAUGGACGCAAGUCUGAUGGAGCAACGCCGCGUGAGUGAAGAAGGCUUUCGGGUCGUAAAACUCUGUUGUUGGAGAAGAAUGGUCGGCAGAGUAACUGUUGUCGGCGUGACGGUAUCCAACCAGAAAGCCACGGCUAACUACGUGCCAGCAGCCGCGGUAAUACGUAGGUGGCAAGCGUUAUCCGGAUUUAUUGGGCGUAAAGCGAGCGCAGGCGGUUUUUUAAGUCUGAUGUGAAAGCCCUCGGCUUAACCGAGGAAGCGCAUCGGAAACUGGGAAACUUGAGUGCAGAAGAGGACAGUGGAACUCCAUGUGUAGCGGUGAAAUGCGUAGAUAUAUGGAAGAACACCAGUGGCGAAGGCGGCUGUCUGGUCUGUAACUGACGCUGAGGCUCGAAAGCAUGGGUAGCGAACAGGAUUAGAUACCCUGGUAGUCCAUGCCGUAAACGAUGAAUGCUAGGUGUUGGAGGGUUUCCGCCCUUCAGUGCCGCAGCUAACGCAUUAAGCAUUCCGCCUGGGGAGUACGACCGCAAGGUUGAAACUCAAAGGAAUUGACGGGGGCCCGCACAAGCGGUGGAGCAUGUGGUUUAAUUCGAAGCAACGCGAAGAGCCUUACCAGGUCUUGACAUCUUUUGAUCACCUGAGAGAUCAGGUUUCCCCUUCGGGGGCAAAAUGACAGGUGGUGCAUGGUUGUCGUCAGCUCGUGUCGUGAGAUGUUGGGUUAAGUCCCGCAACGAGCGCAACCCUUAUGACUAGUUGCCAGCAUUUAGUUGGGCACUCUAGUAAGACUGCCGGUGACAAACCGGAGGAAGGUGGGGAUGACGUCAAAUCAUCAUGCCCCUUAUGACCUGGGCUACACACGUGCUACAAUGGAUGGUACAACGAGUUGCGAGACCGCGAGGUCAAGCUAAUCUCUUAAAGCCAUUCUCAGUUCGGACUGUAGGCUGCAACUCGCCUACACGAAGUCGGAAUCGCUAGUAAUCGCGGAUCAGCACGCCGCGGUGAAUACGUUCCCGGGCCUUGUACACACCGCCCGUCACACCAUGAGAGUUUGUAACACCCGAAGCCGGUGGCGUAACCCUUUUAGGGAGCGAGCCGUCUAAGGUGGGACAAAUGAUUAGGGUG